This 460-nucleotide ribosomal RNA is filed under the name uncultured bacterium. Its description in RNAcentral is "partial 16S ribosomal RNA". It matches the Rfam family "Bacterial small subunit ribosomal RNA", at positions 338 to 795 of the family's 1533-position model. The record is from RNAcentral.
CCUACGGGGUGCAGCAGUGAGGAAUAUUGGUCAAUGGACGAGAGUCUGAACCAGCCAAGUAGCGUGAAGGAUGACUGCCCUAUGGGUUGUAAACUUCUUUUAUAUGGGAAUAAAAUGUUCCACGUGUGGGAUUUUGUAUGUACCAUAUGAAUAAGGAUCGGCUAACUCCGUGCCAGCAGCCGCGGUAAUACGGAGGAGCCGAGCGUUAUCCGGAUUGAUUGGGUUUAAAGGGAGCGUAGGUUGAUUGUUAAGUCAGUUGUGAAAGUUUGCGGCUCAACCGUAAAAUUGCAGUUGACACUGGCAGUCUUGAGUACAGUAGAGGUGGGCGGAAUUCGUGGUGUAGCGGUGAAAUGCUUAGAUAUCACGAAGAACUCCGAUUGCGAAGGCAGCUCACUGGACUGCAACUGACACUGAGGCUCGAAAGUGUGGGUAUCAAACAGGAUUAGAUACCCUUGUAGUC